RNAcentral lists this ribosomal RNA (245 nucleotides) under uncultured Actinomycetales bacterium. RNAcentral's name for it is "partial 16S ribosomal RNA". It matches the Rfam family "Bacterial small subunit ribosomal RNA", at positions 88 to 334 of the family's 1533-position model. The record is from RNAcentral. Lineage: Bacteria; Bacillati; Actinomycetota; Actinomycetes; Actinomycetales.
UGCUCGAGUGGCGAACGGGUGAGUAACACGUGAGUAACCUGCCCUUGACUUUGGGAUAACUUCAGGAAACUGGGGCUAAUACCGGAUAGGAGCUCCUGCUGCAUGGUGGGGGUUGGAAAGUUUCGGCGGUCGGGGAUGGACUCGCGGCUUAUCAGCUUGUUGGUGGGGUAGUGGCUUACCAAGGCUUUGACGGGUAGCCGGCCUGAGAGGGUGACCGGCCACAUUGGGACUGAGAUACGGCCCAG